CCCCAGAAGGAUAAGCGUUUCAGUGGCUCAGUGAAGCUGCCACAUAUUCCCCGCCCCAAAAUGAAAAUUUGCAUGCUUGGAGAUGCUCAGCAUGUAGAGGAGGCAGAAGGAAUAGGUUUACAAUGGAUGGAUGUGGAAGCAUUGAAGAAGCUAAACAAAAACAAGAAAUUGGUCAAGAAGCUUGCCAAGCAGUAUCAUGCCUUUUUGGCUUCAGAAUCAGUCAUCAAGCAGAUUCCUCGUCUUCUGGG
Molecule: unclassified non-coding RNA, 248 nt
Filed under: Hevea brasiliensis (rubber tree)
Lineage: Eukaryota; Viridiplantae; Streptophyta; Magnoliopsida; Malpighiales; Euphorbiaceae
Source: RNAcentral